This is an RNA transcript of Cygnus atratus (black swan), 3883 nucleotides long. It is a transcript of the gene named arginyltransferase 1, with no coding region annotated. The transcript is spliced from 13 exons. NCBI's taxonomy places the organism in Eukaryota, Metazoa, Chordata, Aves, Anseriformes, Anatidae. The record is from RefSeq and is a predicted model, not a curated record.
ACCCAAGAUGGCGGCGGCGGCCGGUUCCGGGGGCCCCGGGGCGCCGUGCGGGGCUGCGGGCAGGGCGCUGCCCUGAGCCGGGCGGGCCGGCGGCGAGCAUGGCGGCGGGCGGCGGCUCGCCGAGCAUCGUGGAGUACUUCGGCGGGGAGGGCGGCUACCGCUGCGGCUACUGCAAGAACGAGACCGGCAACCUCUCCCACGGUAUGUGGGCACAUUCAAUGACAGUUCAAGACUACCAGGAUCUCAUAGAUAGAGGAUGGCGAAGAAGUGGAAAAUAUGUCUACAAACCUAUCAUGAAUCAGACGUGUUGUCCUCAGUAUACAAUAAGAUGCCAGGCGUUGCGUUUUCAGACUUCCAAAUCUCACAAGAAAGUUCUGAAGAAAAUGUUGAAAUUUAUUUCCAAAGGAGAUGUUUCGAAAGUGGUGAGUGAAGAAGAGCCUAUGGAUUCCCAUAUAGAGGAUGUAGUCCCGAGCGAUUUUGCAUAUAAAAGCGAAUCUCAGGUCAGCCAGACUGAACUGACUCCCUUGAAUGAGGAUCACGCAGAGGGAGUGGAGAAUGAAGAUAAGGACAACGCUGAAACGAAAGAAGAAACGAAUGUGAAGAAGGUGGAGUCGGGUUCUCUUCAGAUACCUGUGGAUAAAGAUGCAGCAGGCCCUGGAGAACCAUCCCAUUCUUCUAAAACUGUUCAUGCACCGCCCAAGCCAGGCAAAGGGGCUGAUCUGAGCAAGCCGCCGUGUCGAAAAGCAAAGGACAUACGGAAAGAAAGAAAACUGCAGAAACUCCUUCAGAACCAGAUGGGCACACUUGAAGGCUCUCCACUUCAAGCAGGGCAUCAAGCUCUCCUCUCACAAAACUCUAAGACUCCAACAAACCAACCCAAAUCUAUUGAAGACUUCAUUUUUGUCUCUUUGCCUGAUGAUGCACCACACAAAUUGGAGGUGAGGGUGGUGAGAUCAUCUCCACCAAGUUCACAGUUCAAAGCCACAUUUCAGGAGUCUUACCAGGUCUAUAAACGUUACCAGAUGGUUAUUCACAAGGACCCACCUGAUAAACCAACUAUAAAUCAGGUGAGGUUAGUACCUGUCUCCUUUGAGGACCCACAGUUCAAAUCAUCCUUCAACCAGUCAGCCACUUUAUUUGCCAAGUAUCAGAUGGCUAUACACAAGGAUACACCUUCUGAAUGUGGCGAAAAUGAGUUCACACGAUUCCUCUGUGAUUCUCCUCUUGAGGCAGAGAAUCCCCCAAAUGGACCAGAGUGCGGCUAUGGUUCUUUUCACCAGCAGUAUUGGCUAGAUGGGAAGAUAAUUGCUGUGGGUGUAAUUGAUAUCCUGCCCUACUGCGUGUCCUCUGUCUAUCUGUACUACGAUCCAGACUAUUCCUUCUUAUCUCUGGGAGUCUACUCUGCAUUACGGGAAAUUGCGUUUACUAGGAAACUUCAUGAAAAAGCUCCUGAUCUCUGUUUUUAUUAUAUGGGUUUCUACAUUCAUUCAUGCCCCAAAAUGAGAUACAAGAUCAUCUAGGUCACGUCGUGUGCUCUGAGGAGGUCCAAGCCAUCCACAUAAUAUUUUGCUGAAGUAUUCUGCUUUCAGUUUUCAUGCAAUUCCUCCUAAAAUGCCAUCUAUAUGUUUAUCCAAGAACGUUUCUUUGAGCAGCCAUCUUCCAGUACGGCCACAGCUUUACACCAGUUGCCUUGCGCAGGGCACAGCUGCCAAGAGGUUUAUCCAGUGCUGAGCGAGUCGGGCUGAAUUCACAGGCAGUGUGUUUUUGGUGGUCAGUGUGUCACAUUUUCAUCUCCACAAUUCUAUUUCUACAAAUGGUGCAAUUUAUAGUGUAAAUAAAGUGUUUUGCCCAUUGAAGAUCAGAAGCAUGAAUGUCCUGGAAGAGGAUCCUCGAGGCAGUGUUCCUGUGGGUCAGGAAUAGAGUUGAAGAAUCCGGUGUUCUCAGGUAGCAAGCUGAUGGGUAAAGAACGUCAUCCGUCCCAUGCAACAGAUCUGUAAUUACACAAGUUCUUAAAAGGGAACUUUAUUUCUUGACUCCUUCCUCCCUUCCCUUUCCUUUUGUUUCCAAACAGCUCACAUUUGAUUGCAAUGUGAUUAUUGAAACGGUGGAGUACCAGGGAAGUCACCAAAGAUGGGGAAGGGAAUAUGUAGUAAUCUUAAACUAUUUUUCAGUUCUCAGCUCUUAGACUUGUUCCCAUGUAUGGGUUAAUAUUUAUGAGCUGGUAAAAUAAAACCUACAUUAAAUUUAGACAAAAGGAUUUCUGUAGUUCUAUUAACUAUAUUAAUACGGAAAAAUGUUAUGAAAAACAUGAAGCAAUGGCUUUUUUCCAUUUUUUCAGGGUAGAAUAGGGUAAUACAAGAUUAAAAUGGUUCUCUGUAGAAAUUCAUGACCUUGUGGUAAAACUUUUCAGGCUCUGUUAGAUGUGGUAGUUCUUAUGUUGGAAAAAUAGUCUGGAAAAUUUUCCAACACUCAUAAGAUGCAAAGUCUUUCCUAAUGCAUUUUGGAGCCAGUGAUAAAAGUCUAAGUACAAGAAGGUAUUUUAUUUUAGAAUGAUGUUGGUCUCAGGCUCGCUUCUCAUGUAUUUAAGUACUGUAUCUGUAAUUGUAAAUGCAUUUUCUGUUGAAGACAUUCGUUUACAAACAUAUUUAUGGAAUUUCAGAAAUAAACCAGCUUUAGUGAACACCUACAUCAGAAGGAUACUUGAGAGAUCUUAGAUUUUUUUUUUUUCCUGUGCCGAACUCCUGUCCAUUUUAUCCUGCAAGAAUUUUAUUCUGUGGCUCCAUGUUAUUAAAUUUGCAUUUUCCAGUCGCUACUGAGCUCUUUGAGAUCCUAAUCUACUCUUUUUUGUUAUUUCCAUUACAUGUCUUUGAUAGUGAUUUUGAGUAGGGUAGUGCUUGAUGCUAAGUAGAUUUUGGUUUUGUGCUCCUGGUCUAAAUAGUCAGUGUACUUGCUGCCUUUGCCAUUUAGCUCCCUGCUGACCUUAAAUCAUGUUCUGCUCUACGUUCUUGUGUUGGGAAGGGGGUGUUGGUGAAGUUUGCUACGUGACUUUCCUUAUUUCUGUGGUGUGGUUUUUUGUUGUUCUUAGGUCUUUUGGUUUGGUGUUUUUUUGGUUUUCUUUUUUUGAGGCUUUUUCACUGUCAAUAAUUGGAUGCAAAUAUUGCAAUUGGAGCACAUAUUGUCGCUGGGCUUGGCCAGUCAUCUGCUUUCCCUGACACCACUCCACAACGUCAGUAAAUAACAUCAGCCUACUUUGAAGUGCGCGACAGAUCUGGUUCCUCUGGCUGCGCUAUCUCCAUGUGCCAUUUGAAGACCAUUCUAUGAUUUGAAGAGGUGUUUUGACUGAAAUCUUUAUCCAGACUUGUAUGCAGGCCAAAGUAAAUGGAAUUAUUUCAAACAGUCUACUUCAGUAUCAAGGCAUGGCCAGACUUCAGAUAGAUGGAAUACUAGAAAGGGUUCUGAAAUGUCAAAAAGAAACAAAAGGCUGAUUCAUCUGUGAUUAAUCUUCCUUAAACUAAAUACCUCAGGCUGACUGCGGUCGUAAGCGGUGCCCCUGGAAUUUUAUAGAACUCCGGAGCCAAUUUCUUUGGCUGAUUUUAGGAAUUUCAGCAUUGCUCCUCCUGCAGCAGUGAAACACAGUAGUAGCCUGCAACUCCACAUCCACAGGAUCUGGGAUGGUCUGCCUCAUGCUCGGUUCUCCGGACUUCUUCACUGUUCCUGGUCAUGGAAUUCAGUUUACCUUUUCAAAAAGCUUGGAUUUACUGUGGUCAGUACAGGCCCUCUGACUUGUUGUGCCCGGAAACGUACGUCUGGACGCCCAUUGAGCAAUGUCUCCCCCUGCUCGAGCUUUCCAAAUACUCUCGUUUCAACCAGGACGCAAAAGCAG